RNAcentral lists this ribosomal RNA (486 nucleotides) under uncultured bacterium. Its description in RNAcentral is "bacterial SSU rRNA". It matches the Rfam family "Bacterial small subunit ribosomal RNA", at positions 28 to 483 of the family's 1533-position model. The record is from RNAcentral.
GACGAACGCUGGCGGCGUGCUUAACACAUGCAAGUCGAACGAGAGGAGAAGGAAGCUUGCUUCUUUCGAAUCUAGUGGCAAACGGGUGAGUAACACGUAAACAACCUGCCUUCAGGAUGGGGACAACAGACGGAAACGACUGCUAAUACCGAAUACGUUCCUUAGGUCGCAUGACCCAAGGAAGAAAGGGUGGCCUCUACUUGUAAGCUAUCGCCUGAAGAGGGGUUUGCGUCUGAUUAGGUAGUUGGUGAGGUAACGGCCCACCAAGCCGACGAUCAGUAGCCGGUCUGAGAGGAUGAACGGCCACACUGGAACUGAGACACGGUCCAGACUCCUACGGGAGGCAGCAGUGGGGAAUCUUCCGCAAUGGGCGAAAGCCUGACGGAGCAACGCCGCGUGAGUGAUGACGGCCUCGGUGUAAAGCUCUGUGAUCGGGGACGAACGGUCGAGCAGACGAAUAACUCUGCUGAAGUGACGGUACCCGAA